AUGGGAAAGAAGGGGAAAAAAGGGUUAAGAAACUUGGCUGAAGAGCUGAAUGGCGUCGAGCGGCGAGGGGAGGGACUGGGCCGCGGCGGACUCAGCGGCGGAGGGAGGAGCGCGGCUGCGGGCGGGCGGCGAGCGAGGCGCUCAAAGUCAGCCUCGCAGACAUUGCAGCAGAGCCCCGAACUCGGGAGGCGGCGGCGGCGGCGGCGGAGGAGGAGGCGGCGGCCGAGGCGGAGGGACGACCCGGCCCCACGCCCGCCCGCGCGCCCGCACGCCCGCCCGUGGCCUCGCGUCCGCCGCUGCGCUCGGCAGUGCUGCCGGUCGGAGGCAAGAGCUCGCUGGGGCGCCGAGGGAGGACGGGGCGGUGGGGCGCCUUCGCGGAGUGAGCCUGCCGGAGCCCCGGGCUCGGAGCCGCGGCGGCCUCGGAUACACACUAGAUUGAAGGAGGAGUGGGGAAUCUGA
Molecule: long non-coding RNA, 459 nt
Filed under: Balaenoptera musculus (blue whale)
Lineage: Eukaryota; Metazoa; Chordata; Mammalia; Artiodactyla; Balaenopteridae
Description: lncRNA (ENSBMSG00010016878.1)
Source: RNAcentral